Molecule: long non-coding RNA, 1078 nt
Organism: Trifolium pratense (red clover)
Lineage: Eukaryota; Viridiplantae; Streptophyta; Magnoliopsida; Fabales; Fabaceae
Exons: 6
Source: RefSeq, a predicted model, not a curated record
AGUUCUGUGUCUCGAUGACCCUAAAUCGAUAUUAAGUCUAUAUAACUCUAAACUCAAUAACUCUUCAAAAAAAAAAAAAACUCUAAACUCAAUAAAUUGAAAGGUUGAUAGUGUCUCGAUAACUCUUAAAUGCUAAAUUUUAUAUUAGAGAUUAUAUGACCUUAAAUUCGAGAAAAGUGUGAGAUACUAGAUGAUUUUGUUGAUGAUGUGAUAUAUCUGUUGGCUUUUGUGUUGGUGUUUCGUGAUAAUUAAACUGUACAAGAAAGGAUAAUGGACUCAAAUGAUUUGGAGCGUGAAAGAGGAAUCACUAUACUGAGUAAAAUUACAUCUGUGACUUAUAAAGAUGGCAAGAUUAAUAUAAUUGACAUUCCUGGUCACUCUGAUUUUGGUGGUUCAGUUGAGCGCAUCUUGAAUAUGGUCGAAGGAAUCCUUCUAGUGGUAGAUUCUGUUGAAGGGCCAAUGCCUCAGACAAGAUUUGUCUUAAAGAAGGCUAUAGAGUUUGGUCAUGCGGUUGUUGUAGUUGUGAAUCAAAUAGACAGGUCUUCUGCUCUCCCUGAGUUUGUCGUCAAUUCCACUUUUCAACUCUUCAUUGAAUUAAAUGCAACAAAAUGAACAGUGUGACUUUCAGGUAAUAUAUGCAAGUGGUAUAAAAGGGACUUUGGGCCAUUGUUUGAAUCCAUCACGAGUUGUAUCCCUGGACCACGUAUUGAUAAAGAUGGCUCACGCCAAAUGCUUGUUACAAGUACAGAGUAUGAGGGACAUAAAGGGCGUAUAGCAAUUGGGCGCUUGUAAGCUGGAGUUUUAGAAAAAGGGAUGGAGGUCAAGGUAUGCACUUCAGAAGAUUCAUGUAGAUAUGCAAGAGUUAGCGAGAUUUAUGUAUAUGAAAAAUUCUUUAGGGUCCCUGCAGAUAGAGUGGAGGCUGGUGAUAUGUGCAGUAUGUGGAAUUUCUGAUAUUCAGAUUGGGGAGACAAUUGCGGAUAAAGUGACUGGGAAGGCACUACCUUCCAUCGAAGUGGAAGAACCAACAGUGAAAAUGGCUUUCCCCAUAAACACUUUACCUUUUGUCGGUCGUGAGGUA